CAAGUCGCACGAGAAAGUGGAGCAAUCCAUGAGUACAGUGGCGUACGGGUGAGUAACACGUGGAUCAUCUACCUUUUAGUGGGGAAUACCCCCGGGAAACUGGGGAUAAUACCGCAUAAUCUCGUAAGAGGAAAGCAGCAAUGCGCUGAAAGAGGAGUCCGCGGCUGAUUAGCUAGUUGGUGAGGUAAUGGCUCACCAAGGCGAAGAUCGGUAGCCGGCCUGAGAGGGCACACGGCCACACUGGCACUGAAACACGGGCCAGACUCCUACGGGAGGCAGCAGUGGGGAAUCUUGCACAAUGGAGGAAACUCUGAUGCAGCGACGCCGCGUGAGCGAUGAAGCCCUUCGGGGUGUAAAGCUCUUUCGACGGGAACGAUAAUGACGGUACCCGAAGAAGAAGCUGCGGCUAACUACGUGCCAGCAGCCGCGGUAAUACGUAGGCAGCAAGCGUUGUUCGGAAUUACUGGGCGUAAAGAGUGUGUAGGCGGUGCUCUAAGUCUGUUGUGAAAACUCCCGGCUUAACCGGGAGGGUGCGGCGGAAACUGGAGUGCUUGAGGGUGGGAGAGGUAAGCGGAAUUCCUGGUGUAGCGGUGAAAUGCGUAGAUAUCAGGAGGAACACCUGUGGUGUAGACAGCUUACUGGACCACUUCUGACGCUGAGACACGAAAGCGUGGGUAGCAAACAGGAUUAGAUACCCUGGUAGUCCACGCCCUAAACGAUGCAUACUUGGUGUGAGCGAUUCAUUUCGUUCGUGCCGGAGCUAACGCGUUAAGUAUGCCGCCUGGGGAGUACGGUCGCAAGGCUGAACUCAAAGGAAUUGACGGGGGCCC
Molecule: ribosomal RNA, 830 nt
Filed under: uncultured Bacillota bacterium
Lineage: Bacteria; Bacillati; Bacillota
Description: bacterial SSU rRNA
Rfam family: Bacterial small subunit ribosomal RNA
Source: RNAcentral